CUUUGGUAGUGUUUAUAUCCCUGUGAGUUUAACACUUCAUGACUGAGAGCUGUCCUUCAUGACAACAGAACCCACAACAACCAUGACUUUUAUCACCAUCUUCAUCUGGAUAUUUGCCCUCUGUCUCCAAGAGUCCAGAGGCCAGGUCACUUUGACUCAGACCCCUGCAGUGAAAGUUGUUUCAGUGGGUCACUCAGUCAGUCUCAGCUGUAAGACAAGCAGUGCUGUACCCAGUAACAGCAAUGGACACUAUUUGCACUGGUAUCAACAGAAACCUGGAGGAGCUCCUAAACUCCUUAUUUACUAUGCUAAAACCCUUCAGUCUGGGACUCCAUCUAGAUUCAGUGGCAGUGGAUCUGGGAGUGACUUCACUCUGACCAUCAGUGGAGUCCAGGCUGAAGAUGCAGGAGAUUACUACUGUCAGAGUUACCACAGCAGUGGUAAUGUGUUCACACAGUGAUACAGAGCCGUACAAAAACCUCCCUCAGUCAGACUGCACAGUGGCUGUACUGAUACAGCUGUGACCUACAGCAAGUGCUGAGGGGAGGAGAUGAUUCAGUACAAUGACACAGUGUGUAGUAGAGCUGAACAACAAUAGAGUCAAACUAGAGCUAUUUGUAGAAGACCUUAGAUCAUAACUGAUCACUAAAAGUUUCUACUGAACAUUAACUACAUGUUGUCUCUGUUAAGUAACUCAAGGAAAACCAUCAACCAAUCUAAAUAGAGAUGAUGUGCAUUGAUCAAAAUCCCUAAAGAUGACCUGUGUUUUGAAUACACCCCUGGACAGUGAGAGCCAGGGUGCUGCUCCAGCUGUACAGACCGUCCUUCUCCAGGACCCUGGGACUGGUCUCCUGCUUCUGGCUGGUCCACUUUCCAGCUCAAGGUCCAGUCUGAGGGGAAGCUCUUGUUGGCCAGACAUGUCAGUGUGGCUGUUGUUAUACUGGACAGCUCCUCACUAGAGGGGGGCAGGACUCAUCAAUUACAUCAAAACAAAUCACUUUGGAAAUUACUUCUAAAACUGUAUAUGAAUAUAAAAGUUAGAUUGCUGAAAGAUGUAAAGAAAACCUAAACAGCAACAUGAUAUUACACAUUAUAAGUAUAAAGUAUACAAGUAUGUGUUUAAUUUUAGCAUUACUUUGCCAUACAGAUGUGUUUUUAGGAACGUAUCUGAUCAGAAAACUCAUAUUAAUAGUAUUUGCAGAAGCCAAGCGGUUGGACACAAACAACGUAGAUCAUUUAUCUUCACAUUAAUAUUGUGGCUAUCAUAAACUCAAUGAAAUGAUGACUACAAUAACAGAUUCCACACUUGUCGUACCAGAAUAUUUGAAAGAAGGCUCAGUCAACAGCAAUAUAUGACAAUAUAUAAACUCAGCAAAAAAAUAAACGUCCCUUUUUCAGGA
This is a non-coding RNA of Oncorhynchus tshawytscha (Chinook salmon), 1400 nucleotides long. NCBI's taxonomy places the organism in Eukaryota, Metazoa, Chordata, Actinopteri, Salmoniformes, Salmonidae. The record is from the annotation of a RefSeq genome assembly.